GACGAACGCUGGCGGCGUGCUUAACACAUGCAAGUCGAACGCUGAAGCUUGGUGCUUGCGCGGGGUGGGUGAGGGGCGCACGGGUGAGUCAUACGUGUGUAACCUGCCCUUGACUCUGGGAUAAGCAUGGGAAACUGGGUCUAAUACUGGAUAAGACAUGCCACUGCAUGGUGGUGUGUGGAAAGGGGUUUGCUGGUUGUGGAUGGGCUCACGGCCUAUCAGCUUGUUGGUGGGGUAAUGGCCUACCAAGGCGCCGACGGGUAGCCGGCCUGAGAGGGUGACCGGCCACACUGGGACUGAGACACGGCCCAGACUCCUACGGGAGGCAGCAGUGGGGAAUAUUGCACAAUGGGCGGAAGCCUGAUGCAGCGACGCCGCGUGCGGGAUGACGGCCUUCGGGUUGUAAACCUCUUUCAGCACGGAAGAAGCGAGAGUGACGGUACGGGCAGAAGAAGCGCCGGCUAACUACGUG
Molecule: ribosomal RNA, 472 nt
Filed under: uncultured bacterium
Lineage: Bacteria
Description: partial 16S ribosomal RNA
Rfam family: Bacterial small subunit ribosomal RNA
Source: RNAcentral